UGAUGGGCUGCCUCUCACUGGAGGGAUUCCUGGAGAAGCUGCAGUGUGGUGAUGCUCUACAAGCUGCACAGCCCCCAGUAUCUCUCCUCCUCCUCCACCGCCCAGCCAGCAGCAGCUGAAACUUAACACCCAACACAAAGCGAACCCCACUGAGAGCAGGGGACUAUAGAAACCUGCUGGUGGAUGUGGGAGGUCUGCCACACACACACACAUCUUUUUGUAUUGCAGUCUCCUCCCAUGAGAGGCAGAGAGAGCGUGUGAUUGCUACUAGACAAGGAGGCGAGAGCACUGAAGGACAAACAGACUCCUCCUGCCCUGGUUGCCAGACCCAGCUGAAUGAUUUCUGUCAGAUGGGAAGUAGAAGAGAGAAAUCUCUAGGUAAAUGUAACUGGAAAGCUUUCCAAGAGGAGUCCUAAAUGAGCACAGAAAAGCACUUGGCCACAAUCUGCAGACAGAUUGAAAAAGAAAGGGGAGCUUGAGCAGUGAAGAAUUUAGAACCUGACUGGUACAUACUUCACUCGAGAUUUCCCUGUGAGCAGAAAACUGCAUUGAUGCCGAUCAUAUAAGAAACCUGGAAUCCUGAACAAAGAAAAGAUUUGGUCACAGAAUCUGUAUUCUGAACAUAGCUGUUUCCCUGGAAACGAAAAUGGUGAGUGAAAGUCGUCACGAGGCCCUGGCCGCACCACCAGCCACCACCAUUGCAGCUUCACUGCCAAUUAAUGUCACAGAACCAGCCAGUCCUGGAGCAGGAGGUGGAAAAGAAGAUGCAUUUUCAAAGUUAAAGGAGAAGUUUAUGAAUGAACUGAAUAAAAUUCCAUAAAUUUCAAACUAUUUAGAAGCAACAAAGACUCCAUCUCAGCUUUUUACUUCCUUCAUUUUAAACAGAAAAAUCCCAACAUUUAAAUGAAAGAGAAGGAAGAAACAAAUCAAAAGGAAAGAAAAUGGCACUGUCAAACUGAUGAAAGGGAAAUUGCUUUGAAAAGUUUUUCAGACCUCCUUUUAUUCAUUUCUUUUCUUUCUCUCAUCGUUUUUCCUCUUGGUCCCUCUCUACAGGCCAGCAAAGCUCUUGUCCUUACAGUAACUGAUGUAUAUUAAUGUUCAUUUUCUUUACAUUCGAGAAUCCCAGCCCCGCCUCCUAAAUUCUGUAGUGAACACUAUGUAAACAAAAGUGUAUUGCAAGUGGUUCUGGGGACAAGGGCCUUACAGUACUGAAGGAAGGAGAGAUCAGGGAGGGAGAAGGUGAGAGGGAAAAGGAUAAAUCAUAGAACAGAGGAGGGGGAAGUAGAAAGGGCAAAGCAGGGGGGCUACCCCUUUUUAAAAAAAUCCCUUUAAGCUGCUUGACGGUCCCCAUGGAAUUUUUAUUGGGGUGAUUUCCCCCUUAAUUUGAAGUUUAAAUGUUUAGUUUAAAAUUUUGAUGAUGAUGAUAACGAUAAUUACACUACAUAAAUGAGCACCCAUCUCAAAUGCUAGAUGACUUUAAAAAACUCUUUAAAAUAUAUUCAUACAUAAACACAUUCCUGUAAUUGCCCACAGAUAACACUCUCCUGGGAGCAACAUAAGUUUAACAAACAUAAAUAAGCCCCACAACAAAGCCUACCAGAGUUCCCCUAAUAAUAAUAAUAAUAAUAAAUAUGAGACUGCUUCCUGUACCCUUAGAAGUAACUGUAUUGGAAUUCAGCUGUCAUAACUUCCAGAGCUUGAUGUAUGUUUCUCCCUCCCUGUCUUUCUUUUUCUAUCCAUUCUGGCCCCCUUGAUUUACCAGUUUAGGUUGGAUUAAGUGUUCUUAUUACCGCCUCUAAGAGACAUUAAACUCAUUUCUUGAUUUUUCUCUCUUCCUUGACACCGGGAUUUUGGGCUAUUACUUUGAAUGAUACUUUCUAAUUACAUUUUGGGUUUUUACACACACUCCUACAUGGUAUUUCUGAAAUCUAACUUUUAUGGGCCAGCCAUUUUUACUGUAUUUAGAAAAUAACUUAGGGCUUUGUUCAGCUUUCAACUUUCUCCAUAGUUGUCACUCCACUGAGGUCAAUGGGACACUCAUGAGGUUCUGGUCAGCGUGACUAAGAAUGGAUAGAGAAUUGUCGGAGAAAAAUACAGUUCUCACUUUUUGUUUGGGUACAGCAAGUCAGAUGCUUUAUUUUCUCUCUAUCAAUUGCAUAGAGGGAGAGAGCUAAACAGGUCUUUCAACA
Molecule: non-coding RNA, 2189 nt
Organism: Chrysemys picta bellii (western painted turtle)
Lineage: Eukaryota; Metazoa; Chordata; Testudines; Emydidae
Source: RefSeq, a predicted model, not a curated record